This is a non-coding RNA of Homo sapiens (human), 148 nucleotides long. It matches the Rfam family "Metazoan signal recognition particle RNA". Rfam says of the family: The signal recognition particle (SRP) is a universally conserved ribonucleoprotein. It is involved in the co-translational targeting of proteins to membranes. The record is from Rfam. Lineage: Eukaryota; Metazoa; Chordata; Mammalia; Primates; Hominidae.
GCUGGGCGUGGUGGUGGGCGCCUGUAAUCCCAGCUACUCGGGAGGCUGAGGCAGGGGAAUCGCUUGAACCCAGGAGGCGGAGGUUGCAGUGAGCUGAGAUUGUGCCACUGCACUCCAGCCUGGGCGACAGAGCGAGACUCUGUCUUUU